AUUAGUUUUAGGAGGAGAAUGUUAAAUAAAAAGAAAAGCAUGAAAUAUACAUCUUUAUCACGAGUGAGGACGAACGACUAUUAUUUUUUAAAACCUUUUUUGUGAAAAAUCAAAUUUCUAGCACCGCGUUUCACAAAAUUCCCCAAAAUUUGAAUUCGAAAUGCGCCAAACACUUACCUCCCUCUCUUCUCCCUUUACCGUCCGGUGCUGACAUCGACGCGAACAAUGUCGGCGAUGGAGAAGCACGUCGUGCAGAUCUUCGAUAGAACGAGGCGGAUCAUCGACCAGGCUCGCCAUGAGUGCUAUCUCUGGGAGCAUCACCUUCUCCCCAAAUUUAUUCUCAACGGAAUUCCCCCUCCUCCAUGGCUAUGUAACUCUUCUCUUCACUCCUUCCCCUCAGAUCCCAAAGAUUCAAACAAAGAUGAUACUGUUUCUGGAAUUCUAUCGCAAACACAGUUUGGAAUUCCUUUCCCAGUUCAUCAUUGCAGUCUUUACAAAAAUCUGGAUGUUGUAACUGAUGAUGUUCAGUAUCCUAUUGGUUUGUGUAAUGACGUCCAUGCUUAUAAAAAAGACCAUGAUGUGGGGGAUAGACUUUCAAAUUUGCCUGAUUGUUCGGUUAACAAUGCUGGAUGUGCUUCAAGCGGUCCUCCAGAAUUUGAUUCAGGUGCUAUUUCACCUCAGCAUCAGAUAGAACCAAGAGUUUCAGAGAUUUUCCAUGACCCAGCAGUCUCACUGGCAAAGAUGCAAAGAUCAAGGUCAAGGCAGAAAGCUAUGGAGCUACGUAACAGUGCAAAAGCAGCCAAACGGUUGUCAGGAGAUGGUAAUAAUGCUGCCACAGCUACAGGUUCUGCAUCAUCAUCUUUACAGGAAGACCAUGCCAAGGAGUUAGGCUUGGUCAACGAGUUUCAUCCCAACCUCCAAAGUUGUUUGAUGGAAGAAAUGGGAAGAGAGGGCUGUCAGAAUCAAAUAGAUCACAGGUCUAAUUACUCUGGUCGUAUAACAAGAUCUAAAAGUUCAUCUCAGAAGUUAAACUCUUUGAGCGUUGGUAGUUCCUCCGUAGAGAAGGAAGAUGGUCCACCACUUAAUGAUAUGAAUGAAGUAAUGGAGCUAGUCAACCGACAUUCUUUUAUAAAUGGAAGUUGUGGGGUUCGGGAAGCAAAUACACUAGAGUGUCCGACAAAAGAAGUUGGAAGCAGUGUCGAUGAUAAGAGAUUAACAAAACCUAGAACUUCUAGCCUGGCAGAACAUAGUAGUGAAUUAUUGAACUUAAACAACACUUCGGAUAGACACAAAGGGGUUGAGGUUUCUGAUCUGAAGCAACCAUGUUCUCAUGCUGUGUUAACCGAUAUAAGCAAAACAUCCAAUUGUAACAAUGGAAGUUGGAGGAGAACAGUUAAAGAUGGUGACUUUUGCCAAAAUAAACAGGAAAGUAACAUUCAAAGUAGGUUAAAACUACAUGGAAAUUCCUGUCCAUCACCAGGGGAUGAUUUUUUUACAACUGAUGGUUCUGUAAAGUCUAUCGACCAAUCAUUGCAAUCAUCUCGUCCUUUAGUUUUAAAGAAUUUGCAGGACCCCCCAGUCAACUUUGUUGGGUCUUUUAGUAGCCAAAAGGAACCUCACAUUUGUGCAGCAAAAACAAAAGAACAUUUAAGUAGAAGUGGUUCUGGAAAGGCAUACUUAACCAAAAAUUCAAAGUUAUCGAAGUCUCCAAACUCCAAUUCACGUGAACAAAAUGCAACUUGCUCUGAAUCUGCAGGUAAGAAGUCUCUAAAUGUACAGCCUACCGAACUGGAUGCUAGAAGGUUAUCUUCAAGUCCAAAGCAUUCCGAAUUAGAUAAAGAAAUUUCAAAAAAUUCUGCAGAGAAGGAGAACAUUGCAGAAGUUGCUGCGUCUAGAAAUACAAGGGCUGUGACUAGUUGCGUAAAAGAAGGAUCAUUAAGGCCGGUGAUCUUUUCCAAUUUAGACAGUGGGUCUUUACUUGCGGAAUCACGACACAUUAAAACAGCUGUGGUUGAAAAGGACUUGGAUGUCCAAGAAAAUAUAGCAACAGGAGCCAAUCCUUCUGAUAAUGCUGAGCACAGUUCUGCUGCAACUGUUGCCAAAGUUCUUGUUGAUUUUGAUGGAUUAGUUGAAAAAGAUCCUUCUUGUUUGGGGUCAAGACUCACUGCUGUUAACCCUAAGGUUGGGGAGGAUGUUUCCGUCUUAAGGCUUCCCUCUGAUUUUGUUAUGUCUGUGGUGCCUAAGAAACUUGUUUUUGAUGAAGGUGAAGAAACCGGUAGGGAUGGAAUAUCUAGCCCUGAUUUGAUAGUAGGGCGCCAGAUAGUGUCAUUAGAAAAAGAACCCGUGCCUUUGUCGGAACCAUUGAAGUUACUUGAUGAUGAAACCCAGGAAGUUAUAACAGAUUCUUUUUCUGAAGCAGUUCCUGAAAAUGGUAUGCAUAAACAUACAGAUGAGAGUGUUACAAACUUCACAGUUAGGUUCCCAUCCGGUGCCCCUACUGAUGAAGUGAAUGUUGAUUUGGCACAACAGGCUCCAAAUACCAUUGCCAGUGGUCAAAAUGGGGAGUUAUUGAGGCAGACACUGCUCAGUAAUGGAAAAGUUACCAGUUUUUCAGCCGAUAUCCAUAAUUUCCCAAGUUCCACAGAGCGUUUCAUUAACGAUGUGGAAGAUUCAUGCUCUCCGCCCAAGAAAAGGAAAAUUGAAAUUGAAACAAAGAUUUUUCUUCCCGACUCUACUCACGUAUUGGAAAAGCUAGUUGAUUCUAUCGACCAAAAGCCUGCAAGUGGAACCUUGAGCAACGAAGAAGACAAUCCUGAGACUGUCAUUGAAGUUCAACAUUUGGCAUCUGAUCACGAGGAUGAUAUAAGACAUGAACAUGCUAGUAAUAGCCCAACAGAUGUGAUGGAAGACACCGUGGAAAGCCAAAAAUUAGAAGGGUCUUCAUGUGAAAUGAGAACAGAGCAGAAACUUUUGUUGGAUGGAAGUGGCAGAAGUUCAGAAACUCCUAUGUUGGCAGAAGUAAAUCCAAUCCGUUUUAGUAUUGACUCGAUGAGGUUCACCAUGGACGAGAAGGCGGGGUCAUUGCAUCUUCAGGUUAAUUCUGGACAAGAUAGUGCAGAGCUUGUGACUUGUGUUGAAAGAAGCACCUCAAGUAGAAGGAUCUUUCGGGGGAUUGAUACUGAAUUGUCAGAUGAUUUGUCCGUUUCUCCCGGAAUCAGAGAUUUGGAUUUGAUUGAUACAGGUGAAGCUUUACCAGAGUUUGAAGGGUUCAUUAUGCAAACAGAUAAUGGACAACCAUGCACUGCUCAAGACCAAAUGGAAUUGGAAAAUAUGAAUCUUCCUAGUAACUCAGUAGAUUAUUCAUCACUUGGUAGAUCUAGUUUCAAGCGUUCUCCAUACCUUUAUGAGUCUGUACCUAAUAGACUUCUGGAGGGCUAUGGUCUAAGCUCUUCCCUUCCUCUAAACGAUGAGAGUCCAACGGCCCAUUCGGAUUACCUACCAAAUUGUAAUGGUCAGUAUACAUCUUCAGUUCAAUCUCUUUGGGAUAAAAUUAAUUUGAACUUCAGCAGUUCAGGAAAGCGUAAAAGUUUGAAAUCAGAGCUACCCUGCAUUAGCGAAGAAAAUGAAAAUGUGGAUGAAAUUGGUGGUACAUUCCGAGAAGGCAAUGGUUCAGAAGGAAUGACUGGGUCAAUUACCAGAGGACCACUUGCUCAGACUGUAGAUAAUGCAAACCCUUCAAAAUCAGUAUUAGAAGAUGCAUUAACUAGUGGAUGUGAGGAUUUUCUCAGCACAGAGUUUAACUUGGGUUGGACUCACAGUAAAGUAAAAAAGAAACUUGACAAGCAGGAUGGAAAUAGGGCAAGAUUUACAAGCAAGGGGAAGGAAAACCAGAGUUCCGUUGGAGCAAAUGGUGCCAAAAGGAACUCCGAGUCAGUCCGUAAAAGAUCCAGUAGGCCAAAGUUAUCUGGAAAAGAUAGUAGUAUGAAACAACGUCCCACUUAUUCUGGAGGGAAGACAACAUACAAGAAUAUUGUAUCUAAUGUCACUUCCUUUAUUCCAUUAGUGCAGCAAAAACAAGCAGCAGCGGUUAUAACAGGUAAGAGAGACAUCAAAGUGAAGGCUCUGGAGGCUGCUGAGGCAGCCAAGCGUAUUGCUGAAAAGAAAGAGAAUGAGCGCAAGAUUAAGAAAGAGGCAUUGAGACUUGAGCGGGAAAGACUGGAGCAACAAAAUCUAAGGCAGAUGGAGCUGCAGAAGAAAAAGAAAGAGGAAGAAAGAAAGAAGAAGGAGGCCGAAAUGGCAGCAAAAAAAAGACAAAGGGAAAAUGAAGAGAAAAAGGAGAAAGAAAGAAAAAGAAAACGUUUUAAUGACAUGAAGCAGCAAGAGCAUGGGAAGAUACAUGCUAAGAUAGAAGAGAUAAAAAUACAGCGGCGAGCUACAGGUGAAGAAGUCCAUGAAAGCAGGAAAAUUAUGGAUGAAAGAAACAAUUAUAACAACUUGCAACUGCAAAAGAAUAGUGAAUGCGACGCGGAGAAAAUUUCUGAAACUAAACCUUUGACCAUCAGGGAUUCAACUAUUAAAACCAAGGAAAGUUGUCUUGAUAAUUCAGAAUCUGUGAACUACUGUGCUAAUAAAGGAAAGGCAACAAUGGUUGAUUUGAUCAAAGCCCCUGAAGACAAUGACUUGAUCAUUGGGAACUCUUUUCAAGAGCAAUCUUACGAGAUGUCUCCAUACAAAUCAGAUGAUGAAGAUGAGGAUGACGUGCCGAAUAAUAAGUUUAUACCAUCAUGGGCAAGUAAGCAUAGCCUGUUUCUGAUGGUUUCUUCCCAGAAAAUGGACCCGGAAAGGAUAUUUUCUCAGAAAACUUUUUGCAAUAUAGCAAAAGUUCUCCUGCCUCGGAAGCUUCAGUUGUAGUACCAAGUCAGGACUCCAUAUCAUAGCGAUUCUCCCAUUUCAUAAUAUGGAAUUUUGUGUUAAGAUUUAUGUAGAGCUUCAUUACGGAUUAAGGUGUAUCCGCAAAGGUGAUCGGAUGAUCCCUGCCAUAUCUUUUCCAUAUUUGAGCAAAGAGUUGCAAUCAGUAUUUUGAUGCACCCUCAAAUUUGCUGCUUCUAUCGAUCUUGGUUUUCUUUGAGAUGUGUCCUUUUGUACAGUUAAAUAAUCCGAAAGGAAGUCAAUAUAAGUGUGAAUCUCUGUUAAAAGAAAGCCAGUUUCGAGGCCCCUGAACCUGCAUAUAAUGGCUAUGUUUCGCUGAAAUGUACCCGAUUGUUGAUUUAUUUAUGAUACUUUAGACUUGUUAAAAGUUUUUUAUAUUUCAAAUUUAAGCAGACAACAUGCACACUCAUAUUGGUUAUUAAAUUAUUAUUAGACUACUUAACUAA
Molecule: RNA transcript, 5375 nt
Organism: Cicer arietinum (chickpea)
Lineage: Eukaryota; Viridiplantae; Streptophyta; Magnoliopsida; Fabales; Fabaceae
Source: RefSeq, a predicted model, not a curated record